GAAUUGCAUAUUUUCAGUGAAUCAUCGAAUCUUUUGAACGCACCUUGCGCCCCUUGGUAUUCCGAGGGGCAUGCCUGUUUGAGUGUCAUU
Molecule: ribosomal RNA, 90 nt
Filed under: Leccinum schistophilum
Lineage: Eukaryota; Fungi; Basidiomycota; Agaricomycetes; Boletales; Boletaceae
Description: partial 5.8S ribosomal RNA
Rfam family: 5.8S ribosomal RNA
About the family: 5.8S ribosomal RNA (5.8S rRNA) is a component of the large subunit of the eukaryotic ribosome. It is transcribed by RNA polymerase I as part of the 45S precursor that also contains 18S and 28S rRNA.
Source: RNAcentral